RNAcentral lists this small nucleolar RNA (84 nucleotides) under Myotis lucifugus (little brown bat). Its description in RNAcentral is "Small nucleolar RNA SNORA69 (ENSMLUG00000025374.1)". It matches the Rfam family "Small nucleolar RNA SNORA69". Rfam says of the family: U69 is a member of the H/ACA class of small nucleolar RNAs (snoRNAs) which act as guides in the the modification of uridines to pseudouridines. Lineage: Eukaryota; Metazoa; Chordata; Mammalia; Chiroptera; Vespertilionidae. The record is from RNAcentral.
UAAGUCCUGAAAGAAAAUCUUGUGUUGAUCAUUUUUUAUUUUGCCGUAUGAGGCUAAAAUCAUGACAGACUGACAUGGACAAUU